GAGAAGCUUGCUUCUCUUGAGAGCGGCGGACGGGUGAGUAAUGCCUAGGAAUCUGCCUGGUGGUGGGGGAUAACGUUCGGAAACGGACGCUAAUACCGCAUACGUCCUACGGGAGAAAGCGGGGGACCUUCGGGCCUCGCGCCAUUAGAUGAGCCUAGGUCGGAUUAGCUAGUUGGUGAGGUAAUGGCUCACCAAGGCUACGAUCCGUAACUGGUCUGAGAGGAUGAUCAGUCACACUGGAACUGAGACACGGUCCAGACUCCUACGGGAGGCAGCAGUGGGGAAUAUUGGACAAUGGGCGAAAGCCUGAUCCAGCCAUGCCGCGUGUGUGAAGAAGGUCUUCGGAUUGUAAAGCACUUUAAGUUGGGAGGAAGGGUAGUAACUUAAUACGUUGCUACUUUGACGUUACCGACAGAAUAAGCACCGGCUAACUUCGUGCCAGCAGCCGCGGUAAUACGAAGGGUGCAAGCGUUAAUCGGAAUUACUGGGCGUAAAGCGCGCGUAGGUGGUUCAGUAAGUUGGAUGUGAAAUCCCCGGGCUCAACCUGGGAACUGCAUCCAAAACUGCUGAGCUAGAGUACGGUAGAGGGUAGUGGAAUUUCCUGUGUAGCGGUGAAAUGCGUAGAUAUAGGAAGGAACACCAGUGGCGAAGGCGACUACCUGGACUGAUACUGACACUGAGGUGCGAAAGCGUGGGGAGCAAACAGGAUUAGAUACCCUGGUAGUCCACGCCGUAAACGAUGUCAACUAGCCGUUGGGAGUCUUGAACUCUUAGUGGCGCAGCUAACGCAUUAAGUUGACCGCCUGGGGAGUACGGCCGCAAG
This 823-nucleotide ribosomal RNA is filed under the name Ectopseudomonas oleovorans. Its description in RNAcentral is "bacterial SSU rRNA". It matches the Rfam family "Bacterial small subunit ribosomal RNA", at positions 73 to 892 of the family's 1533-position model. Lineage: Bacteria; Pseudomonadati; Pseudomonadota; Gammaproteobacteria; Pseudomonadales; Pseudomonadaceae. The record is from RNAcentral.